ACGGGAGGCAGCAGUGGGGAAUAUUGGGCAAUGGGCGCAAGCCUGACCCAGCAACGCCGCGUGAAGGAAGAAGGUCUUCGGAUUGUAAACUUUUGUUGUCAGCGAAGAAAAAGGACAGUAACUGACGAGGAAGCCCCGGCUAACUACGUGCCAGCAGCCGCGGUAAUACGUAGGGGGCAAGCGUUGUCCGGAAUUACUGGGCGUAAAGGGCGCGUAGGCGGCAUAUUAAGUCAGAUGUGAAAUCCCCGGGCUUAACCCGGGUGUUGCAUUUGAAACUGAUAAGCUUGAGUGCAGGAGAGGAAAGUGGAAUUCCUAGUGUAGCGGUGAAAUGCGUAGAUAUUAGGAGGAACACCAGUGGCGAAGGCGGCUUACUGGACUGUAACUGACGUUGAGGCUCGAAAGCGUGGGGAGCAAACAGGAUUAGAUACCCUGGUA
RNAcentral lists this ribosomal RNA (435 nucleotides) under uncultured Gracilibacter sp. Its description in RNAcentral is "partial 16S ribosomal RNA". It matches the Rfam family "Bacterial small subunit ribosomal RNA", at positions 341 to 792 of the family's 1533-position model. The record is from RNAcentral. Lineage: Bacteria; Bacillati; Bacillota; Clostridia; Eubacteriales; Gracilibacteraceae.